This 253-nucleotide unclassified non-coding RNA is filed under the name uncultured Cyclobacteriaceae bacterium. Its description in RNAcentral is "contains 16S-23S intergenic spacer region". It matches the Rfam family "Bacterial small subunit ribosomal RNA", at positions 524 to 776 of the family's 1533-position model. The record is from RNAcentral. Lineage: Bacteria; Pseudomonadati; Bacteroidota; Cytophagia; Cytophagales; Cyclobacteriaceae.
UACGUAGGGUGCAAGCGUUGUUCGGAUUUACUGGGUUUAAAGGGUACGUAGGCGGAUGACUAAGUCCGGGGUGAAAGCCCACCGCUCAACGGUGGAAUUGCCUUGGAUACUGGUGGUCUUGAGUGCCGUAGAAGUAGGCGGAAUUCAUGGUGUAGCGGUGAAAUGCAUAGAUACCAUGAGGAACACCGAUAGGGAAGCCAGCUUACUGGACGGUGACUGACGCUGAGGUACGAAAGCGUGGGGAGCGAACAGG